Molecule: long non-coding RNA, 427 nt
Filed under: Phascolarctos cinereus (koala)
Lineage: Eukaryota; Metazoa; Chordata; Mammalia; Diprotodontia; Phascolarctidae
Description: lncRNA (ENSPCIG00000012469.2)
Source: RNAcentral
CAUUUUAUCAGUUUAAUCGAUGAUAUGAUCUAUUCUUUUUCUGAUUUGUCCUGUGUCCUUUCUGAUUUCCAGGUCUGGCCCAGUGCCUGAUACAUAGUAGCAGCUCACCAAAUAUUGAUUGACUGCUUAACUGAUUUGUUCUACUGAGGCGGCACCCCCGCCCAGUCUCACGACCUGCUUUCCAUUGGCUGAAUCAAGCCCCGCCUCCAAACGUGACAUCACAGGUCUCCUCCUUUCUGCGGUUUUCACCUGGCCUGGGGUCUGUGGAGAGGGGCAGCUUGAGGCUCCAGCUCCUUCCCCUGCCGGUUCUCCCUUCCCGGGCCUGCUUGAUCCCCCGUGGGAAUCCUCUGUGUGUGGGAGUAAAAUCGGGUACUGCAUGGGCACUGCCUCUUUUUGGAGCACUCUCAGGAAGAGCUUAGCAGUCUAA